CCAGCAUCCCCGGGGGACCGUCCGCAGACGGUUGAGAGGCAGCUAUGUGGCUGCGACCCGUUGAACCUGAUCCGGCUAACACCGGCGUAGGGAGGGUCAGCGCGCUUUCA
Molecule: non-coding RNA, 110 nt
Organism: Sphingomonadales bacterium GWF1_63_6
Lineage: Bacteria; Pseudomonadati; Pseudomonadota; Alphaproteobacteria; Sphingomonadales
Source: Rfam